This 161-nucleotide unclassified non-coding RNA is filed under the name Knufia tsunedae. RNAcentral's name for it is "partial internal transcribed spacer 2". RNAcentral also lists the same sequence under 1 other name. The record is from RNAcentral. Lineage: Eukaryota; Fungi; Ascomycota; Eurotiomycetes; Chaetothyriales; Trichomeriaceae.
UCCUCCCUCAAACCCCGGGUUUGGUGUUGGACCCAAGUUGUGUGAACAACUGGUCUCAAAGACAAUGACGGCGUCCGUGGGACCCUCGGUGCAACGAGCUUUUAGGAGCACGCAUCGAGUUGCAAGGACCUUCCGGGCCGGUCUCCUUUACCAUUUUACAA